UAGGAGAUUGUUUUUCAAGUUCGUGUACGAUAAAUUUAGAUGAUUAAAGAUUAUAUAUUUUUUGAUAUUUGAAGUGUUACAGAAAUAAGUCGUAACCAAUGUGUGCUAGAGCUUUCACCCAAUUUGAUGACAAAUGAUGCUGCAAGAUAAAUAUAUAAAAAACAGACUUGUUUUCUAAAUACAAUAAUUAGGUGGAAAUUUUGAAAAAACAUAAACUUUGAAAGAUCUCUUUCUACUUGUUUUGGUAGUUGUAAUAUGAGUUCAAAUAUUAGGACCAUGCACAGGCUCUUACUGUUCAUAACAACGCUUUACUGUACAAGCUUGACAAAGUGAUCAAAAGAAUGUUAAUAACUAAUGAACAAAAUUUGUAUUAGUGUUCAUCCAAAAUGACAUAAAACUACCUAAGGAUAAAUGACAAGUUGCACAAAAGAAUGCAAAAUAACUCUAAAAAUGUUGAGAAUUUGGAUCCUAAUUGUAGAAUAUCAGUCACGUGUAGUGAACCCUGGCUCCAACUAUUUUCUUGUUCUAAUUAAAGAAAAAA
This 541-nucleotide long non-coding RNA is filed under the name Physcomitrium patens. Its description in RNAcentral is "long non-coding RNA (PPAT_LNC005026)". Lineage: Eukaryota; Viridiplantae; Streptophyta; Bryopsida; Funariales; Funariaceae. The record is from RNAcentral.